AGGAAAAUUUAAAAUAAAAGAAAGAAUUGGAAAAGAAAGGGUUGUCUUGUGAAAUUGGGCCAAAAUUAAUGCUGAGCCCAAAGCCUAUACCCAAAUCUGCCCAAACUCAAUAAGUCACUCAAAGCCCAAUCUCCCUACCAAAAUACCCAUUACCCUUUGCCCUAAUCCCUCACAUAAAAGGGGAGUUAAGGCACAAAAUAGAUCAGAUUUUAGACAUCCCCUCCCAAGCAAAAGGGCGCAGCUCCCCAUUUUUUGGUCUUCCUCUAUUCUUUCUUCUUCCGAAAAAUUACAAUAAACAGACCCAAGGAACGCAGCUUUUUUAUCAUUUUCUUCACUAGAUUUUUGACAGAACCACCCCUUCCCAUUUGGCCAUUUUCGAUUGAGAACGGACAGAGAGAGGAGGUAAACAGUGAGUUUGAAAUCAUGGAGGUUUCUUUCGAAAUUCCUGGAUAAAAUUUGGAAAAAUCGGACAAAAAAUUUCAGAGAGAAAGUUGGAGUGUUCAAACUCUCAAAAAUUGCUGAUUUCGCUGUUGUACUGCUGUGCUGCUGAAGCUCUAACCAUGGACAGUGCUGGACUUUAGUUGGUUUUGAUUUUAAUCUUGCACCAUUAGAAAAGGUUCAUGUUGGAGUGCGAUAUAUGUGAAGAUGGAAUUAGCUACCUGCUGUAAACUGGUUGUUGCCUAGUUGUAGAUUGUGGUUAUUAAAAGUGGCAGAUAUUAAGGACGCAUUUCCUCUAUUCCAAGUUGUAUAUUUAAACCAGUUGGAUUAUCUUCCUAAUCUCCAUUCUAGUCAAACUUUGUUGACACAAGCAGUACUAAUAUAAGGAAUGAUCAGAUGAAUUCGAUUUUGUGUCUUCCAUUCAUGAAUAUUCAAUGUUGUUGACGUGGA
Long non-coding RNA from Nicotiana attenuata, 888 nucleotides. RefSeq lists it as uncharacterized. The transcript has 2 exons. Lineage: Eukaryota; Viridiplantae; Streptophyta; Magnoliopsida; Solanales; Solanaceae. The record is from RefSeq and is a predicted model, not a curated record.